CCACAAACAGACAUCCACAAACAGACAUCCAGACAUACAGACAUCCACAAACAGACAUCCAGACAUACACAGACAUCCACAAACAGACAUCCACAAACAGACAUCCACAAACAGACAUCCACAAACAGACAUCCACCAACACACAUCCACAAACACACAUCCACAGACAUCCACACAUCCACAGACAUCCACACAUCCACAAACAGA
Molecule: non-coding RNA, 207 nt
Organism: Pelobates cultripes (western spadefoot toad)
Lineage: Eukaryota; Metazoa; Chordata; Amphibia; Anura; Pelobatidae
Source: the annotation of a GenBank genome assembly